This 481-nucleotide ribosomal RNA is filed under the name uncultured bacterium. RNAcentral describes it as "partial 16S ribosomal RNA". It matches the Rfam family "Bacterial small subunit ribosomal RNA", at positions 30 to 506 of the family's 1533-position model. The record is from RNAcentral.
AUUGAACGCUGGCGGCAUGCUUUACACAUGCGAGUCGAACGGUAACAGGCCGCAAGGUGCUGACGAGUGGCGAACGGGUGAGUAAUGCAUCGGAACGUGCACAGUCGUGGGGGAUAACUACUCGAAAGAGUAGCUAAUACCGCAUACGAUCUAUGGAUGAAAGCGGGGGACCGUAAGGCCUCGCGCGAUUGGAGCGGCCGAUGUCAGAUUAGGUAGUUGGUGGGGUAAAGGCUCACCAAGCCAACGAUCUGUAGCUGGUCUGAGAGGACGACCAGCCACACUGGGACUGAGACACGGCCCAGACUCCUACGGGAGGCAGCAGUGGGGAAUUUUGGACAAUGGGCGCAAGCCUGAUCCAGCAAUGCCGCGUGCAGGAAGAAGGCCUUCGGGUUGUAAACUGCUUUUGUACGGAACGAAACGGCUCUGGUUAAUACCCGGGGCUAAUGACGGUACCGUAAGAAUAAGCACCGGCUAACUACGU